Molecule: ribosomal RNA, 253 nt
Filed under: uncultured bacterium
Lineage: Bacteria
Description: partial 16S ribosomal RNA
Rfam family: Bacterial small subunit ribosomal RNA
Source: RNAcentral
UACGGAGGGAGCAAGCGUUACUCGGAAUUAUUGGGCGUAAAGAGCUCGUAGGCGGUUUGUCGCGUCUGCCGUGAAAGUCCGGGGCUCAACUCCGGAUCUGCGGUGGGUACGGGCAGACUAGAGUGAUGUAGGGGAGACUGGAAUUCCUGGUGUAGCGGUGAAAUGCGCAGAUAUCAGGAGGAACACCGAUGGCGAAGGCAGGUCUCUGGGCAUUAACUGACGCUGAGGAGCGAAAGCAUGGGGAGCGAACAGG